RNAcentral lists this long non-coding RNA (219 nucleotides) under Sorghum bicolor (sorghum). RNAcentral describes it as "long non-coding RNA (SBIC_LNC011602)". Lineage: Eukaryota; Viridiplantae; Streptophyta; Magnoliopsida; Poales; Poaceae. The record is from RNAcentral.
GCCGUAUUGGAUGUCAUUGAUCCAACAUAUAAUGGAUGAGAGAUCAAGGUGUAUGUCAGUUUGAAAGAAGUACAAGUAACCAACAAUAAUCACCCUUUCAUUUCACCGGUAAGUCUUCGAUUAGUAUGCCUUAUUUGGAAAAAGAGGCAAGAAUUUGGUCGUAUGCAUAUCUGACUUCUCAUUUGAAUUCCACAUACAAACAGUUGAAUCAUUGCCACG